This 253-nucleotide unclassified non-coding RNA is filed under the name uncultured Parachlamydiaceae bacterium. Its description in RNAcentral is "contains 16S-23S intergenic spacer region". It matches the Rfam family "Bacterial small subunit ribosomal RNA", at positions 524 to 776 of the family's 1533-position model. Lineage: Bacteria; Pseudomonadati; Chlamydiota; Chlamydiia; Parachlamydiales; Parachlamydiaceae. The record is from RNAcentral.
UACGUAGGGUGCAAGCAUUACUCGGAUUUAUUGGGCGUAAAGGGCGCGUAGGCGGGCUUACAAGUCAGGUGUGAAAUUCCGGGGCUCAACCUCGGAGCUGCAUUUGAAACUAUAGGCCUAGAGGGUAGGCGGAGAAAACGGAAUUCCACAAGUAGCGGUGAAAUGCGUAGAUAUGUGGAAGAACACCGGUGGCGAAGGCGGUUUUCUAGCUUACUCCUGACGCUGAUGCGCGAAAGCAAGGGGAUCGAACAGG